GUCGUUAGCUCAGUUGGUAGAGCAGUUGACUUUUAAUCAAUUGGUCGCAGGUUCGAAUCCUGCACGUG
This 68-nucleotide transfer RNA is filed under the name Escherichia coli 2-222-05_S1_C2. RNAcentral's name for it is "tRNA-Lys". It matches the Rfam family "tRNA", at positions 5 to 66 of the family's 71-position model. Rfam says of the family: Transfer RNA (tRNA) molecules are approximately 80 nucleotides in length. Their secondary structure includes four short double-helical elements and three loops (D, anti-codon, and T loops). Lineage: Bacteria; Pseudomonadati; Pseudomonadota; Gammaproteobacteria; Enterobacterales; Enterobacteriaceae. The record is from RNAcentral.